UUCCAUCUUCGGGGCAGGGUGAAAUUCCCGACCGACGGUGAUGAACCCACUUGGUGUUCUUAGUCCGUGACCCAGGAGGCGCUACGAGAGUGUUUAACUCCAUGCCGAUCGGUGGACCUGGUGAAACUCCGGGACCGACAGUUACAGUCUGGAUGGGAGAAGAUGUAG
RNAcentral lists this non-coding RNA (168 nucleotides) under Pontibacillus marinus. RNAcentral describes it as "FMN sequence". It matches the Rfam family "FMN riboswitch aptamer (RFN element)". From Rfam's summary of the family: The RFN element is a highly conserved domain that is found frequently in the 5'-untranslated regions of prokaryotic mRNAs that encode for flavin mononucleotide (FMN) biosynthesis and transport proteins. This element is a metabolite-dependent riboswitch that directly binds FMN in the absence of proteins. RNAcentral also lists the same sequence under 1 other name. Lineage: Bacteria; Bacillati; Bacillota; Bacilli; Caryophanales; Bacillaceae. The record is from RNAcentral.